Molecule: ribosomal RNA, 484 nt
Filed under: uncultured bacterium
Lineage: Bacteria
Description: partial 16S ribosomal RNA
Rfam family: Bacterial small subunit ribosomal RNA
Source: RNAcentral
AUUGAACGCUAGCGGGAUGCUUUACACAUGCCAGUCGAACGGCAGCGCGGACUUCGGUCUGGCGGCGAGUGGCGAACGGGGGAGUAAUGUAUCGGAACGUGCCCAGUAGCGGGGGAUAACUACGCGAAAGCGUAGCUAAUACCGCAUACGCCCUACGGGGGAAAGCAGGGGGUCGUAAGACCUUGCCCUAUUGGAGCGGCCGAUAUCGGGUUAGCUAGUUUGUGAGGUAACGGCUGACCAAGGGGACGAUCCGUAGCUGGUGUGAGAGGACGACAAGCCACAUGGGGACUGGGACGCGGCCCAGACUCCUACGGGAGGGAGCAGUGGGGAAUUGUGGACAAUGGGGGCAACCCUGAUCCAGCCAGCCGGCGUGUGAGAUGAAGGCCUUCGGGUUGUAAAGCACUUUUGGCAGGAAAGAAACGUCGCGGGCUAAUACCCCGUGGAACUGACGGUACCUGCAGAAUAAGCACCGGCUAACUACGUG